Molecule: ribosomal RNA, 486 nt
Filed under: uncultured bacterium
Lineage: Bacteria
Description: bacterial SSU rRNA
Rfam family: Bacterial small subunit ribosomal RNA
Source: RNAcentral
AACCGAGAACUCCUACGGGAGGCAGCAGUGGGGAAUAUUGGUCAAUGGGCGAAAGCCUGAUCCAGCCAUGCCGCGUGUGUGAAGAAGGCCUUUUGGUUGUAAAGCACUUUAAGCGAGGAGGAGGCUACUUGGAUUAAUACACUAGGAUAGUGGACGUUACUCGCAGAAUAAGCACCGGCUAACUCCGUGCCAGCAGCCGCGGUAAUACAGAGGGUGCGAGCGUUAAUCGGAUUUACUGGGCGUAAAGCGUGCGUAGGCGGCUUUUUAAGUCGGAUGUGAAAUCCCUGAGCUUAACUUAGGAAUUGCAUUCGAUACUGGGAAGCUAGAGUAUGGGAGAGGAUGGUAGAAUUCCAGGUGUAGCGGUCAAAUGCGUAGAGAUCUGGAGGAAUACCGAUGGCGAAGGCAGCCAUCUGGCCUAAUACUGACGCUGAGGUACGAAAGCAUGGGGAGCAAACAGGAUUAGAUACCCGGGUAGUCCGACUGAGA